UCACAAAGGAUGGCACCAUCGCUGAUGUCUCACAUGUGUCGUUGCGUGAGUUCGUGAAUCUUUGUGAGUGGCUGACGAGUGCGGCUGGCAAGGAUGCCCUGCAGGCCGCGCCUUGAAGGAGGAAGUUGGCGAGGAAGCUACGUGCCUCCAGUGACCCUGUUGGGGCACGGUUGGCUCUGGCCAUGUCGUAUAUGGCCUCCGAGUAUCAGUCCGAGGCAAAGAAGGCGCACACUACGUUUGAGGCUAGGGUCUCCGAUCUACGCGGGGAGACACGAGAAUGAACCCACCAUUUCUUCUUCAGUAGCCUUGGUCUCCGAAAGACCAGGUGGGCACGAGGAUGGAGAACAACGAGAAGGCCAAGUCGUAUGAAGAGAGCGAAGAAGAGGAGAGGGAGAUAGAGAAGCAGCGUAGGAUCAAAUCCAUCGAAGUUUAAGCAUAUAGGAGGAAAGAACAUGAAUAUGUUUCCUUCAGUUUGGUUGACAUUAUUAAGGAUAGAGAGAUAUGUGGACAGUAUUGACUGCUGCAGUGGUCUUCUUACUCAGUUUGGCCUGAGAAUAGAGUUUUAACUCUUGCUUCUUGUGUGUAGAAGUAGAAGAUGUACGUUAGUUCUGUUAGUUUUUGUAGGGUUUUUGUGUACUUUGAGGGGAAGACUCUGUAACACUUAACAACCGGUUCUAAUAUAAAGUGGUAUUAAUCGCGUAA
Long non-coding RNA from Syzygium oleosum, 702 nucleotides. RefSeq lists it as uncharacterized. The record is from RefSeq and is a predicted model, not a curated record. Lineage: Eukaryota; Viridiplantae; Streptophyta; Magnoliopsida; Myrtales; Myrtaceae. The transcript has 2 exons.